CAAUGUGCCUAGACCAUCGACAAAUAUACAACGAUAAAGAAAAAGCAACGUUAUUCGAUAUUGCUAUUGUAUAAGACGGCCAGAAUGUCUACACCAAACGAUCAAAAAGAAUGGGAGUUGAAAUAUUUUAAAGUACUGAAGAAUUUUCACGCACGAUGUAAAUUGUGUCCACGUUAUAAAUCAAUCAUUUUGAUGUACCGAAAUAUGGGCAAUGUGCAUCAUCAUUUCAGCAAAUAUCACCCAAAUGUAGACAAAAGUAAAAAACUUUAUCAGAAAUGGCAGCAUUUUAAUAAAAUUAACGAUUCGCGCAUGAAAUGUAAUACUUGUCAUCGCAGUUAUUCGAUUACAUCAAGUACAGCAUGGAAGAUACAUUUAUCUAAGAAACAUAAAAUACAUAUAAAUAUAGAAAAAAACUUACAAACGAGUUUUACAUGGAACCAUAUUCAAGAGUUUGAUGAAGAUAAAGAUUAUGUAAAGUGUCUUAAGUGCGAUUGUAUGAUUAAACUUGCUCCUGAAUGCUUUACAUGCUCAUAUGUACAAGAAACAUUUUGAUAUUUUAAUAAAAGAACAAUCUCCACAAGAAGAAAUUUAUAUACCUGGGCCAUCAACAAGUGCACAACAUUAAAGAAAAAAUAACGAUUUGACAAAGGUUCUAUACACGCACCACGACCAGCAGUAGUAACAAUCUUAAUGUUACAAUCUGUGUAACAAUCUGUGACGAUUUAAGUGAUUUACAGUACCUGAAGAGAAUGUCAUAUCUAUGAUAUGU
Non-coding RNA from Linepithema humile (Argentine ant), 769 nucleotides. The record is from RefSeq and is a predicted model, not a curated record. Lineage: Eukaryota; Metazoa; Arthropoda; Insecta; Hymenoptera; Formicidae.